This 414-nucleotide ribosomal RNA is filed under the name uncultured microorganism. RNAcentral's name for it is "bacterial SSU rRNA". It matches the Rfam family "Archaeal small subunit ribosomal RNA", at positions 459 to 872 of the family's 1478-position model. The record is from RNAcentral.
CAGCCGCCGCGGUAAUACCGGCGGCCCGAGUGGCGGUCACUAUUAUUGGGCUUAAAGCGUCCGUAGCCGGGUUGGGAAGUCCUCCGGGAAAUCUGGCCGCUUAACGGUCAGAAUGCCGGAGGAUACUCCCAGCCUAGGGAGCGGGAGAGGCCGAGGGUAUUCCCGGAGUAGGGGGGAAAUCCUAUAAUCCCAGGAGGACCCCCAGUGGCGAAGGGGCCCGGCUGGCACGCGCCCGACGGUGAGGGACGAAAGCUGGGGGAGCAAAGGGGAUUAGAUACCCCCGUAGUCCCAGCUGUAAACGAUGCGGGCUAGAUGUUGGGCGGGCCUCGAGCCCGCCCAGUGUCGUAGGGAAGCCGUUAAGCCCGCCGCCUGGGGAGUACGGCCGCAAGGCUGAAACUUAAAGGAAUUGGCGGG